This 5502-nucleotide unclassified non-coding RNA is filed under the name Nilaparvata lugens (brown planthopper). RNAcentral describes it as "protein tipE, transcript variant X2". The record is from RNAcentral. Lineage: Eukaryota; Metazoa; Arthropoda; Insecta; Hemiptera; Delphacidae.
GCUCGGAUGAGGCUAUGCGGGGAAGCAGCUGUGAACUGCUGCUGGACCCGCAGGCUGAGCUCAGGAAGCGCCGUCUGCUGGAGCUGGCCCGUCCGAAGAAGCGUCCGGCUCGGCGCACCUGCCGUCAGCGCGUCUGGUUCUACGCGACGUCGCUGUUCGCGAUGACGGCCGUCUCGGCCGGAUCCAGCCUGCUCUUCCUGGUACCGCUCUACGUCGAUCCGGCCAUCUCGACGCUGGCCGCCGACUUCACGCCGCAGCCCGUCACCUGCGUCACGGUGCGUCGCGACGACCGGCGCGGCAUUAACAACUGUACGUGGAGCAGCUGUCGCGAAGGCUGCACCAGUGACAUGUACUCGUGUACGCACAUAUUCGUGUCCUACCACGCACAUAACCUGUCCGACUCCUCAACGCCGGAUGACUUCACGGACGAAGCUGUCCUGCUGGUGAACAUCAAGGGCUGCGGCUACCCGCCCGAGGUGCGCUGUGCCGACUUCAACACGCUGUACGGCGAGGAGGGCGCCCACUUCCCGUGCUACUACUCGCGCCAGAAUCGGACUAUUGUGAUGACCAGCUACGACCGCGACAAACAGGUCGAGGUCAUUAUUAACUAUUUCGCGAUUCCGUUUGUGGUGACACUGGUCACGUCGGUUGUGCUCUGCGUGAUGCACUGUGACUGUCGCAACACCACGCCGCCACGCUCCUUCCGCAGGGCUCGUGUCGAGGAUGCCAGACAAGCUGGACAACCAGCGAAGAAUCAAACGAGAGUGGUGAAGCUGCAGAGAAAAAGCAGUACAUGUACAACGUUCGGCUGAACUAAUUCCAAUCCAGUUGGAACGGUUUUUGCUCACAAUGAGAAACAGGGGGUUGACGCGCCUUUCUUGUCGAUUAGUGACUACUCGAUCAGCACACGUGUGGACCGAAUUGCGGCCUCCCAGCAAGACCUGAGCCGGCCUCUCUGACAUAGGGAGGACACAGUGGACAGCAGUCACCUGAUGAUCACUUCGCACUCCAGCGACCUCUAGCAUCAGCCUGCCACUACCAGUGCCCUCACAACACCUCGCUGGUAAACUGCAAUCCACUGUUGUCCGCCCGCCCGCCCGCCGCGAUAACCACUUAAAAAACGUGUAACCUGCUGAAAUUAAGUGUUAUGCCAUGAAAAUAAUGUGUUACAUACGGUACUGCAAACUUAACGUCAAAUACUGGAAUAAUGUGUCAAUGGGAACGAUGUUUUACGUUUGAAAAGAACUGUUACACGCUGAAAAUAACGUUUUAGGUACUGAAAAUAGCAUGUCCAAAUUUUUAAGGACUUGAGUGUUUCCACGCCACUCCUCCGCUGAGUCAUUGCCUUAACUCAAGAAAAGACUCGAUAAAUUAUUUGUUUAUAUGAUAGAAAAAAACAAGAAAUUACGCAUUCUUCGCCGACGGCUUCCUCAAUAUUGAUAUUCUAACGUGAUAAAUCACGGAACUACGUAAACCAUACAAGACAUUCUCGACGAUUAAGAUUACGCAGUAAAGUCUUAAGUCUCAACCUCGUUACCAAAGACCUGGAAUAAUCGAGAAAAUUAUUUUUUUACAAUUCGCUUUUAUUUGAUGUGUGAAAGCGCAGAGACUGGGUGUGAAUAUGUUGUUGCAUGCACACAAUAACUUACUUGUACAUUAGGAGUAUGAUCAUAAUAAUAUUUAUUGCAAUUUUGAUAACACAGUUGGACCCUACAAGGUGUAAGUGGAAGUAUUGUAUGAAUCAACUGCGGCAAUUUUUCAAUUCAAAUUAUUCAUUAGAAUCUCAUUUAAAUGUUUGAAUCCAUCAAUGGGGGAUUAUUCUAGAAACUGUUUGAAUAAUGAUCAUUUAUCACCAAAUAUAAUCGUUCAAGAUACCGUAUUGUCAAGUGAGAAUUACAGUAGAGCCUCAAUACGUUGAAUCUGGAAAGAACAAGGUGAAAUUGUCCUUCGAGAUCAACAAUAAAAUUAUUAAACAGAUAAAUUGAGAUUUUGAUAUGAGAUGAGGACGUCGAAAAAGAAAAUUCCCAAUGAUUUGGAAUACAGUAAGUUGUAGAAAUAAAAUAUUCAAAAUAACUUAUCAUUCCUCAUUUCUAUGCAUUCUUAACAUGCUUAAAGAAAAAUGCACUGAGCAAAAAAUACGUCAUAAAAUUUGAGUUUGAGUAAUAAUUGAGGUUCAACUGUACAGUCAAGCUUCCAUAAUAGAGUAAUAUAGAUAAUAAUCUGCAUACUACUCGUUCCAGGUGGAGAAUCUCUCUAACUUAUCACAAUUUGAAAUACAAUACUACUGCGCCACCUAAGGUUAUUUCAAACUUCAGUGAAUGUAUGUAGACUAUCUCACAUUUCUAGUUUGGUACUAGAGAAAUAAGAAAAGAAACUGAUCUUUUUUAUCUGAAAAUCAUUAUUUGAAUAUUUUAUCUACCACUGUACUGAUUAAACGGAUUGAUAACAAUUUUAGAAAAUCAAUGAAACUCAAUUACCAGGAGUGAAAUAGAAAUGAAAUAGCAAAAUGAAUCUGUAAUGAGCAUCAAUUACUAAAAUGAAAUAGAAUUACGGUACCAAAAGUGUGCACUUUAAGUUUGAUAAAAAAUUCUUCAAAGGAAUACGAAAAUCAAUGAAACACUACACAGGACACAGGCAUUUAUACCAUUGACAAUCGCAGGUAGUAAUAAUAGAAAUUAUCAUAGGCUUUCCAUAGAUUCGACUAAAUUAUUUUGAAUUUAUAAAUUUUCGUAGUUGAAAGCAGAGAUAUUUGCUUAGUACCAACAUCAAUACGAAAAAGAGAGGUACUAGGUAGUUUUUUAGUUCAUCUGAUAAGCCUCUCAUUUAUUAUUAUUGUUUUUCUACAAAAAUGAUUGCAUCUUCUUGAACCAAGGAGGACAGUUACACUCUGCCAACAACUGAUGAUACAUUGCCGCCUUGAAGGAUGCAAGCUAUUUUCAACAAUGGACUGCAUUAUAAUUGCCAGAAAUUCAUUAGGUUUGUAGAGUGAAUAUUGAUGUUGUGGAUCUUUUUCAAAAUUAAAGAGACUUGAAAUAUUCAAUUGAAUUCUUUGACAAUAUCUCAAGUCUUUUUAAUUGCCAGAAAUUGAUCGUUUUCAAAAAAUGAUGUUCAGGAAACCGCUUACUUUCUCACGUCAUUCAGCCCCAUCAGUUCAGUAUCAUUACCACAUCUUAAGAGCUUUUUCGUGUGUUACACCUUUCAAACUUUGUGAGUGAAGUCAAUCACUUGAUUCUUCACACAAUUGGAAUAAAUUAUCCAUCCAGCAAGUGAACUGCCAAGUUCUUUAUUAUAAGUCCUUAAAAUAAGUUACCACUAGAAAAUCGGUCGUUCUCUCUUGGAAUUCCGUCUAUAAUCUUCUGCUCUCUUGCUUCCAUUCCAGUUUGUCUAUCGCUCUCUUACUAUCUUCAUGCUGUCUAUUGCUUUUCGUGACUUCUGUAAUUAAUUGAAGGGAAUUUAUGGGUAUCCAGUUAGAAUUCGUCACUAGGGACUAGCCAGUAGGAGGCUUUAAGCGUUUGCUGUCUAUGGCGGAGCAGAAUGAACAGAGCAACAAAUAAAUACCGGGCAUUGAUUGUAGGGUCUCCUUGGGAUUUGAGAAUCUAGAAUGGCUUGGCUAGUCUUUCCUACAGUCAAUAUGGUUAUAUAGUUACUGUAGUCUUUCUUAAUGCAAAGUACAAUUCCCUAACUUUGCAAUGCAUGUUAUCUCAUGAAGCACAAUCAUUAUUAAAAUAUUGUUUCCCUGGAGAUAUAUAACUUGGAGAUAAUAUUUAUACACUUGAAAAUGUACUACAAUACAGUUUCAUAUCAGUUAUAUAUUUGCAGUUCAUGCAUAAUACCCGUUUGGCUGUUAAUUCAGUUGUAUAACAAUUGUUGUUGAAAUUUAAUAAUCAUCAAUAUUUUGUUAAAUUUCAGAUAGCUCACAAAACUUAUAAUUUUCACAUCUCUUGUUUAUUCUAGUUUUUCCAAGCUAGCUUAGCACUUAUAAGUUGGUAUGCUCUAAUCUGGAAUUUGAGGAACAGAUUAAAUUUUUUCUAUUCACCUGAACUAUGAACUUCUAAUUAUUUAAUCUUUCUCAAUCGCAGAAAGUUGAUGAUACUAAUUCGAACUUUACAUAAAAAGUUGCCACAAGAGAUUAGGCCCACCUUCAACUAUCUCCCCAACAAACAAUAGACUUUAAUUCCUUCUCCGUACUCUUUGGAUAACGAUACUGCGUUGUUCCACUUAAUCGUUCUCAAACCUCAUGAAUGGAAAAAUAUCAGAAAAUUAUAAUUAUAAUUGAUCAUUUAAAAUUUUCAAAAUUAUAGUUAUUGAAGUAGCUAUCAAUAACAAUAAUUAUUCAAUUCAAUGGAAUAUACCAUUAUUAUUCUACAAAUCCUGCAAUAGUAACAUUAAUAGCCAUGAAUAAAUAAAUAAAUUCACGAUUUCAGGCAUAGUAGUUCAGAGCUAGAAACACCUCAGAAAUCUUAGAAUUUGUAAUGACAUAUUACUAUCUAAUGAGAUAAUAAUCCCACCUUUAAAAAUGCUUUUUGUAUCAUUUAUUGUAUUUUUAUCACAAUUUUACAACGGAAACAACAGGUGAAAUUCGAAUAUGCUUCCUUAACAUAACAACAAGCAAUUAUGCAAAGUUAGUCAGUGAGGUUCAGCCAAUUCAUUUAGCUUGUUAGAAGAACAGUUUUCAAGAAAACUAUUCCUCCAUUUUCAAAUCAAGCAUACCUACCUAUAUAACUUUAUGAGUUUCUUUGUUUAUCCAACAAUCUUAUUCAUUGUUUCCAAAAUCAAUAGGAUAUCGUUUAAAAUUAGUGAAACUCCAUUCCUUGAUUAAUUCAACCACAUUUAAAUCCAGGAUUGAAUGGUAUUAUUUUGAAGCUCCAAUUCCACGUUUAUGUGAACUAUUCCAAGCUCAUCUCGGAUCAAGAAAACCAGUUUUGAAUAAUGAAUUUCAUAUACCUAAAUGAUUAUUAAAUAUACUUUAUCUGCUUUCAAUUAAUUCUCAAUCAGCAAUAUUUCAUGAACUGUACGUAAAUUAAUCCAUCAAUAUUAUAUUCAGAUAUAUUUAUGAAAUUAAGUAUUAGAUGUGCUAUUGCAAUGAGUUUGAUGUUUUGAAAUGUGGAUUGUGAAAUUCUAGGCUGUAGACCCAAGACGAGCAUUUAAAUGAUCAUGACCAAAUUUAAUAAUUGCUCAAUAUUGUGUUACAAUGAUCUAUUCCAAACGGUGAAUCAUCAUUUUGGAGUGGUAGGUACGGUACUUAUAAAACGAGCUAAAACCAUCAAAUUCAAUUGAAUAAUCAAUAAUUAUAUUGAUUGGUUUCAAAAUCAUUCAUUCAUAUCAAACUACUAAUGUUGAUGUUGGUAUAGGAAAAUGAUUAUUAAUCAUUGAUCGUGGGAUAAUAAAAUAUUUUUCAGAUCAUUAAACAAUUCCAGGUUUGAAAUAAUCGUUGAUAUUUAGAAUAAAGCUACACAAUAAAGUAAUUAGCUUACUUGAAGAAUAAAUUUAUUAUUAUCAUCA